GACGAACGCUGGCGGCGUGCUUAACACAUGCAAGUCGAACGGAAAGGCCCCAGCUUGCUGGAGUACUCGAGUGGCGAACGGGUGAGUAACACGUGGGUAAUCUGCCCUGCACUCUGGGAUAAGCCUGGGAAACUGGGUCUAAUACUGGAUAUGACCUUUCUCUUUAUGGGGUUUGGUGGAAAGUUUUUCGGUGUGGGAUGAGCCCGCGGCCUAUCAGCUUGUUGGUGGGGUGAUGGCCUACCAAGGCGACGACGGGUAGCCGGCCUGAGAGGGUGAUCGGCCACAUUGGGACUGAGAUACGGCCCAGACUCCUACGGGAGGCAGCAGUGGGGAAUAUUGCACAAUGGGCGGAAGCCUGAUGCAGCGACGCCGCGUGAGGGAUGACGGCCUUCGGGUUGUAAACCUCUUUCAGCAGUGACGAAGCGUAAGUGACGGUACCGGCAGAAGAAGCACCGGCUAACUAUGUG
RNAcentral lists this ribosomal RNA (467 nucleotides) under uncultured bacterium. RNAcentral's name for it is "partial 16S ribosomal RNA". It matches the Rfam family "Bacterial small subunit ribosomal RNA", at positions 28 to 507 of the family's 1533-position model. The record is from RNAcentral.